RNAcentral lists this ribosomal RNA (604 nucleotides) under uncultured bacterium. RNAcentral's name for it is "bacterial SSU rRNA". It matches the Rfam family "Bacterial small subunit ribosomal RNA", at positions 888 to 1498 of the family's 1533-position model. The record is from RNAcentral.
GCAAGAUUAAAACUCAAAGGAAUAGACGGGGACCCGCACAAGUGGUGGAGCAUGUGGUUUAAUUCGAAGAUACGCGAAGAACCUUACCUAGCCUUGACAUAUAUUAGAAUCUUUCAGAGAUGAGAGAGUGCCUUCGGGAGCUUUUAUACAGGUGCUGCACGGCUGUCGUCAGCUCGUGUCGUGAGAUGUUGGGUUAAGUCCCGCAACGAGCGCAACCCUCGUCACUAGUUACUAACGGUUCGGCCGAGGACUCUAGUGAGACUGCCUUCGUAAGGAGGAGGAAGGUGAGGACGACGUCAAGUCAUCAUGGCCCUUACGGCUAGGGCAACACACGUGCUACAAUGGUUGGGACAAUGAGACGCAAUACCGCGAGGUGGAGCAAAUCUAUAAACCCAAUCUCAGUUCGGAUUGUUCUCUGCAACUCGAGAACAUGAAGCUGGAAUCACUAGUAAUCGUAGAUCAGCUAUGCUACGGUGAAUACGUUCCCGGGUCUUGUACUCACCGCCCGUCACACCAUGGGAGUUGAUUUCACCCGAAGCGGGGAAGCUAAACUGGCUACCCUCCACGGUGGAAUUAGCGACUGGGGUGAAGUCGUAACAAGGUA